CUAGAGUUUGAUCCUGGCUCAGAGCGAACGCUGGCGGCAGGCUUAACACAUGCAAGUCGAGCGGGCCCUUCGGGGUCAGCGGCGGACGGGUGAGUAACGCGUGGGAACGUGCCUUCUGGUUCGGAAUAACCCUGGGAAACUAGGGCUAAUACCGGAUACGCCCUUUUGGGGAAAGGUUUACUGCCGGAAGAUCGGCCCGCGUCUGAUUAGCUAGUUGGUGGGGUAACGGCCUACCAAGGCGACGAUCAGUAGCUGGUCUGAGAGGAUGAUCAGCCACACUGGGACUGAGACACGGCCCAGACUCCUACGGGAGGCAGCAGUGGGGAAUAUUGGACAAUGGGCGCAAGCCUGAUCCAGCCAUGCCGCGUGAGUGAUGAAGGCCUUAGGGUUGUAAAGCUCUUUUAUCCGGGACGAUAAUGACGGUACCGGAGGAAUAAGCCCCGGCUAACUUCGUGCCAGCAGCCGCGGUAAUACGAAGGGGGCUAGCGUUGCUCGGAAUCACUGGGCGUAAAGGGCGCGUAGGCGGCGUUUUAAGUCGGGGGUGAAAGCCUGUGGCUCAACCACAGAAUGGCCUUCGAUACUGGGACGCUUGAGUAUGGUAGAGUGGGGAUACUUGCGAUGUAGAGGUGAAAUUGG
Molecule: ribosomal RNA, 636 nt
Filed under: Methylobacterium radiotolerans
Lineage: Bacteria; Pseudomonadati; Pseudomonadota; Alphaproteobacteria; Hyphomicrobiales; Methylobacteriaceae
Description: bacterial SSU rRNA
Rfam family: Bacterial small subunit ribosomal RNA
Source: RNAcentral